CCCAAUUCGAUAGAACAAUAUUUAAGUAUAAUUGAAAUGCCAGAAUGGAACUUUUUCACCAGUUACAACGCAACGAACAUAACAGUCACAACUAUUGAAGACAAUGAUCAUUUUAAAUCAAUAAUUUACGCUGAUUUAGGAUUUUUACGAUCCUUAAAUAAUGUGACUGAACUUUUUAUGGAUGCUACAUUUAAAGUGAUUCUGAGAAAACCUGCAUUUCGUCAAUUGUUCACGAUUUUAGGAUUUGUCCAAGAUUCUGUUAUACCGCUUUGUUGGGUUUUAAUGCAAAAAAAAGAUACAUCAGCUUAUGAAUCAGUUCUUACGUACUUCUCCUUAAUUUUGGCACCUCAUUUGCGUCCAUUAGCAAUCAACACUGAUUUUUAAAGUGCUCUAGGUAUCGCUAUUCUAAGGAAUUAUCCAGAGGUUACUCAUACUCGAUGUUAUUUUCAUUAUUGUCAGGCGAUAAUGAAAAGAAUAAAGAAGUUGCGUCUUCUGAAUGCAAUAAAUGAAAGCAAUGAAAAUCGAUUGUUUUUACAAAAAUUAUUAGUACUACCUCUACUUCCUCCUGAUGAUAUUGAAUUGGCAUUUUACUGGAUUCUCAGUACUACUGCACCAGUACUAUUAUUGCAGUUUAAGAAGCUAUUGAAGUAUUUUUAUAACCAGUGGAUAAGAAGAACAAGGCCAGAUGUAUAUUCUGUUUUUCUUAGAGUUUUUAGAACAAAUAACUUCUCCGAGGCUUAUAAUAAAGUAUUGGCUCUACAGUUUGGAACUCAUCCAAAUAUUUGGGAUUUUACAGAAAAAAUUGUUCUUUUACAAGAAUUAAAGCGUAUCGAGUAUGAAUCAUUACAAAACGGCAAUCGAAUAACGGAGCAAUCUCGAAGUCGUGAAACCUUAAAAAAUGAAAUUAUCCAUAGCGCUUGAGUUUUAUACCAAAACAACCAAUUUGGUAUUCCGCAAUUUAUUAACUGUGUGAGCUACUUCAUCAAUGAACUUAAAAGUGGAAGAGAUGUUGAUGUUCAACAAAUUCAUAAUUUCAUCGCUGAAAAUCCAAUUGAAAUUGAACUCGUUGUUGGUGAACAUAUCACAGACUGUACGAUGUGUUAACUAAGAAUGACGAAUCAUAUUUUUCAGCCAUGCAACCAUUGGUUUGGAUGCUUUCGGUGUGUGCAAAACAUGCGAGUCUUUCUUGCUCGCGUGCAAGCUAAUUUGCGUUGCCCAACUUGCGACAAUGUUAUAGCAUCAUUUGAACAGAUUUUUUGAAUAUUUUCUGACAUUAAUGAUUUAUUUAAAUACA
Long non-coding RNA from Cotesia glomerata, 1294 nucleotides. RefSeq lists it as uncharacterized. The record is from RefSeq and is a predicted model, not a curated record. NCBI's taxonomy places the organism in Eukaryota, Metazoa, Arthropoda, Insecta, Hymenoptera, Braconidae. The transcript is spliced from 5 exons.